GCAUAUCAAUAAGCGGAGGAAAAGAAACCAACAGGGAUUACCUCAGUAACGGCGAGUGAAGCGGUAACAGCUCAAAUUUGAAAGCUAGCUCUUUUAGGGUUCGCAUUGUAAUUUGUAGAAGAUGCUUCGGGUGUGGCCCCGGUCUAAGUUCCUUGGAACAGGACGUCAUAGAGGGUGAGAAUCCCGUAUGUGACUGGGUGCUUUCGCUCAUGUGAAGCUCUUUCGACGAGUCGAGUUGUUUGGGAAUGCAGCUCAAAAUGGGUGGUAAAUUUCAUCUAAAGCUAAAUAUUGGCCAGAGACCGAUAGCGCACAAGUAGAGUGAUCGAAAGAUGAAAAGCACUUUGGAAAGAGAGUUAAACAGUACGUGAAAUUGUUGAAAGGGAAGCGCUUGCAACCAGACUUGCGCGCUGAUGAUCAUCCGGGCUUCUGCCCGGUGCACUCGUCUGCGCUCAGGCCAGCAUCGGUUUCGGUGGUGGGAUAAAGGCCUUGGGAAUGUAGCUCCUCUCGGGGAGUGUUAUAGCCCUCGGUGCAAUGCCGCCUACCGGGACCGAGGACCGCGCUUCGGCUAGGAUGCUGGCGUAAUGGUUGUAAGCGACCCGUCUUGAAACACGGACCAAGGAGUCUAACAUCUAUGCGAGUGUUUGGGUGUCAAACCCAUACGCGUAAUGAAAGUGAACGGAGGUGAGAACCCUUAAGGGUGCAUCAUCGACCGAUCCUGAUGUCUUCGGAUGGAUUUGAGUAAGAGCAUAGCUGUUGGGACCCGAAAGAUGGUGAACUAUGCGUGAAUAGGGUGAAGCCAGAGGAAACUCUGGUGGAGGCUCGCAGCGGUUCUGACGUGCAAAUCGAUCGUCAAAUUUGCGUAUAGGGGCGAAAGACUAAUCGAACCAUCUAGUAGCUGGUUCU
This 903-nucleotide ribosomal RNA is filed under the name Cadophora luteo-olivacea. Its description in RNAcentral is "LSU rRNA". It matches the Rfam family "Eukaryotic large subunit ribosomal RNA", at positions 38 to 958 of the family's 3401-position model. The record is from RNAcentral. Lineage: Eukaryota; Fungi; Ascomycota; Leotiomycetes; Helotiales; Ploettnerulaceae.